Peziza echinospora is the source of this 72-nucleotide non-coding RNA. NCBI's taxonomy places the organism in Eukaryota, Fungi, Ascomycota, Pezizomycetes, Pezizales, Pezizaceae. The record is from the annotation of a GenBank genome assembly.
GGGGUCGUGGCCUAAUGGUAAGGCGUUGGUUUUCGGCACCAAAAAUUGCAGGUUCGAGUCCUGCCGGUCUCG